UUGCAGUUAAAAAGCUCGUAGUUGGAUCUCAGGUCCCGGCUCGCGGUUCACCUCGCGGUGCUUACUGCCCGUCCGGACCCACCCACCGGUUCUCCCUUGGUGCUCUUCACUGAGUGUCUCGGGUGCCCGGAGAGUUUACUUUGAAAAAAUUAGAGUGUUCAAAGCAGGCGCUUCGCCUGGAUAAUGGUGCAUGGAAUAAUGGAAUAGGACCUCGGUUCUAUUGUGUUGGUUUUCGGAGCUCGAGGUAAUGAUUAAGAGGGACAGACGGGGGCAUUCGUAUUACGGUGUUAGAGGUGAAAUUCUUGGAUCGCCGUAAGACGAACUACUGCGAAAGCAUUUGUCAAGAAUGUUUUCAUUAAUCAAGAACGAAAGUCAGAGGU
Molecule: ribosomal RNA, 380 nt
Filed under: uncultured marine eukaryote
Lineage: Eukaryota
Description: SSU rRNA
Rfam family: Eukaryotic small subunit ribosomal RNA
Source: RNAcentral